Molecule: non-coding RNA, 74 nt
Organism: Nicotiana attenuata
Lineage: Eukaryota; Viridiplantae; Streptophyta; Magnoliopsida; Solanales; Solanaceae
Source: Rfam
GAUCAGGUAGCUCAGCUGGUUAGAGCAAAGGACUGAAAAUCCUUGCGUCAGUGGUUCUAAUCCAUUUCUAAGCA